GACGAACGCUGGCGGCGUGCUUAACACAUGCAAGUCGAACGGAAAGGCCCUGCUUUUGUGGGGUGCUCGAGUGGCGAACGGGUGAGUAACACGUGAGUAACCUGUCCUUGACUUUGGGAUAACUUCAGGAAACUGGGGCUAAUACCGGAUAGGAGCUCCUGCUGCAUGGUGGGGGUUGGAAAGUUUCGGCGGUUGGGGAUGGACUCGCGGCUUAUCAGCUUGUUGGUGAGGUAGUGGCUUACCAAGGUUUUGACGGGUAGCCGGCCUGAGAGGGUGACCGGCCACAUUGGGACUGAGAUACGGCCCAGACUCCUACGGGAGGCAGCGGUGGGGAAUAUUGCACAAUGGGCGGAAGCCUGAUGCAGCAACGCCGCGUGCGGGAUGACGGCCUUCGGGUUGUAAACCGCUUUCGCCUGUGACGAAGCGUGAGUGACGGUAAUGGGUAAAGAAGCACCGGCUAACUACGUG
RNAcentral lists this ribosomal RNA (468 nucleotides) under uncultured bacterium. Its description in RNAcentral is "partial 16S ribosomal RNA". It matches the Rfam family "Bacterial small subunit ribosomal RNA", at positions 28 to 507 of the family's 1533-position model. The record is from RNAcentral.